CUUACCUAGUUAUAUAAAGGUUAAAUAAAGUAAUGAUUUGGGUAUAAACUAUCUUAGUGUUUGCUGCUCUCUACAGGUCAGCGUGUGUCAUUGACUCCACAUCUGGACAGAGCAGAGAUGUGUAGUAAGUGAACCCUUUAUUCUCCACACACUUCUAAAGUGCAGUACACCAAUCCAAUGCUUUUGAAUCCAUGAUGAAAGUGGGGAAAAGUAUGGAGAAUCGGGACACUAGUCUCUCAGGUAGAAAGACAACGUCAAACAGCUUUCAUAUGAUAGAAAGACCAGAGUCUCAAAUGAGUCUUCAGCACUAUGUGACACUGAAAACAUUUUAACUACUGUACACAAUGGGAAGUGAUUUUUUAAAAACUAUAAAGUGAUAAUUGGAUAAAUGUCAUUUGUCUGCUGUUUUUUUUGGGGGGGGGGUGGCAUGUGUUGCAAAUAUCUAGGUGUCAUUUUACGUCAAGCUGCAGAGUUAACGUGUAGUUCCAUACUAGAUAGACGGAGAGACGUGUAGUUCCAUACUAGAUAGACGGAGAGACGUGUAGUUCCACACUAGAUAGACGGAGAGACGUGUAGUUCCACACUAGAUAGACGGAGAGACGUGUAGUUCCAUACUAGAUAGACGGAGAGACGUGUAGUUCCAUACUAGAUAGACGGAGAGACGUGUAGUUCCAUACUAGAUAGACGGAGAGACGUGUAGUUCCAUACUAGAUAGACGGAGAGAGUUAACAUGUAGUUCCAUACUAGAUAGACGGAGAGACGUGUAGUUCCAUACUAGAUAGACGGAGAGAGUUAACAUGUAGUUCCAUACUAGAUAGACGGAGAGACGUGUAGUUCCAUACUAGAUAGACGGAGAGACGUGUAGUUCCAUACUAGAUAGACGGAGAGACGUGUAGUUCCAUACUAGAUAGACGGAGAGACGUGUAGAUCCAUACUAGAUAGACGGAGAGACGUGUAGAUCCAUACUAGAUAGACGGAGAGACGUGUAGUUCCAUACUAGAUAGACGGAGAGACGUGUAGUUCCACACUAGAUAGACGGAGAGACGUGUAGUUCCAUACUAGAUAGACGGAGAGACGUGUAGUUCCAUACUAGAUAGACGGAGAGACGUGUAGUUCCACACUAGAUAGACGGAGAGACGUGUAGUUCCAUACUAGAUAGACGGAGAGACGUGUAGUUCCAUACUAGAUAGACGGAGAGACGUGUAGUUCCAUACUAGAUAGACGGAGAGACGUGUAGUUACAUACUAGAUAGACGGAGAGACGUGUAGUUCCAUACUAGAUAGACGGAGAGAGUUAACGUGUAGUUCCAUACUAGAUAGACAGAAAGAUUUAACGUGUAGUUCCAUACUAGAUAGACGGAGAGACGUGUAGUUCCACACUAGAUAGACGGAGAGACGUGUAGUUCCAUACUAGAUAGACGGAGAGACGUGUAGUUCCAUACUAGAUAGACGGAGAGACGUGUAGUUCCAUACUAGAUAGACGGAGAGAGUUAACGUGUAGUUACAUACUAGAUAGACGGAGAGAGUUAACGUGUAGUUCCAUACUAGAUAGACGGAGAGACGUGUAGUUCCACACUAGAUAGACGGAGAGACGUGUAGUUCCAUACUAGAUAGACGGAGAGAGUUAACGUGUAGUUCCAUACUAGAUAGACGGAGAGGCGUGUAGUUACAUACUAGAUAGACGGAGAGACGUGUAGUUCCAUACUAGAUAGACAGAGAGACGUGUAGUUCGAUACUAGAUAGACGGAGAGACGUGUAGUUCCAUACUAGAUAGACGGAGAGACGUGUAGUUCCAUACUAGAUAGAUACAGAGAGACGUGUAGUUCCAUACUAGAUAGACGGAGAGACGUGUAGUUCCAUACUAGAUAGACGGAGAGACGUGUAGUUCCAUAUUAGAUAGACGGAGAGACGUGUAGUUCCAUACUAGAUAGACGGAGAGACGUGUAGUUCCAUACUAGAUAGACGGAGAGACGUGUAGAUCCAUACUCGAUAGACGGAGAGACGUGUAGUUCCAUACUAGAUAGACGGAGAGACGUGUAGUUCCACACUAGAUAGACGGAGAGACGUGUAGUUCCAUACUAGAUAGACGGAGAGACGUGUAGUUCCAUACUAGAUAGACGGAGAGACGUGUAGUUCCAUACUAGAUAGACGGAGAGAGUUAACGUGUAGUUACAUACUAGAUAGACGGAGAGAGUUAACGUGUAGUUCCAUACUAGAUAGACGGAGAGACGUGUAGUUCCACACUAGAUAGACGGAGAGACGUGUAGUUCCAUACUAGAUAGACGGAGAGAGUUAACGUGUAGUUCCAUACUAGAUAGAUGGAGAGGCGUGUAGUUACAUACUAGAUAGACGGAGAGACGUGUAGUUCCAUACUAGAUAGACAGAGAGACGUGUAGUUCCAUACUAGAUAGACGGAGAGACGUGUAGUUCCAUACUAGAUAGACGAGAGACGUGUAGUUCCAUACUAGAUAGAGACAGAGAGACGUGUAGUUCCAUACUAGAUAGACGGAGAGACGUGUAGUUCCAUACUAGAUAGACGGAGAGACGUGUAGUUCCAUACUAGAUAGACGGAGAGACGUGUAGUUCCAUACUAGAUAGACGGAGAGACGUGUAGUUCCAUACUAGAUAGACGGAGAGACGUGUAGUUCCAUACUAGAUAGACGGAGAGACGUGUAGUUCCAUACUAGAUAGACGGAGAGACUUAACGUGUAGUUCCAUACUAGAUAGACGGAGAGACGUGUAGUUCCACACUAGAUAGACGGAGAGACGUGUAGUUCCACACUAGAUAGACGGAGAGACGUGUAGUUCCACACUAGAUAGACGGAGAGACGUGUAGUUCCAUACUAGAUAGACGGAGAGACGUGUAGUUACAUACUAGAUAGACGGAGGAGGAGACGUGUGUUUUCUUUCAUCCUUGUACUGUAAGAGCCUACGUGCUGAUUGAGAACCCAGCACAUUAACUCUUACUGUUCAAGGCUGAGAGAUAGUAAAGAGGGGAGAAGAGAGGAAAGGAGAGAGAAGGAGAAAUUAUGCACACUAACACUCACACACACGAUAAUGCUUCUGUAAACGACAGUGGUUGGAUUAAAACAGUCAUUUUUAAACAUGUGACAUGUCAGUGUAGUCAGCCAUCCCUCUUCUCUCCGUCCCUCUUUCCUACCCCUCCAUCUACCCCUCCAUCCAUCCCUCUUUCCCAUACCUCCACCCCUCCCUCUUCCCUACCCCUCCAUCCCUCCUUCCAUCCUUUCACCCAUUCAUCUCUUCCACUCUCCCCAUCCUUCCUUCCACUACUCCCUCCAUCCCAUCCGGAUGAUGACUAAUACUUACCCCAG
Molecule: long non-coding RNA, 3331 nt
Filed under: Salmo salar (Atlantic salmon)
Lineage: Eukaryota; Metazoa; Chordata; Actinopteri; Salmoniformes; Salmonidae
Description: lncRNA (ENSSSAG00000117618.1)
Source: RNAcentral